GUAUACAAUAAUGACAAGAUUAUGAGAUCAUCAACUGUGAUGGAUUUGGCCCUUUUCUUCCACAAUGGGGAAAUUCAAGGCAAUCCCAGCUGACUUGGGAUGGAGAAAGCCAUCCACUUCCAGAGAGAGAGCGAUGGAGUCUGACUGUGGAUCAAAACGGACUGGACUAUUAAUCUCUCUUGGUAUGAGGUUGGUCGUAUAUGUGGAGGAGAGUUGAUUUAGCAGAUUACAGAGUUUCAGAAUUGGACUCACAUUCCUAUUCCCUGGCAGCUAAACGAACCAUCUUUUAACCCCAUCUGUGAAAAACCACGUCAGGGAGAGACAAAUGUUACCCUCCCAGUGACGACUGCCAUAAUGGAAUCCCAUUAAAUUUAUCAACUUUGAGGAAGUGUUGGGUUUUGUUUUCCAGCUAAAGGGAGACUCCUCCUCCUCCUUUCUCCCCACCUCCUCCUCCCCCCAAGGACUGCUUUUUUUUUUUUUACCCAUAAAUGGAGAAAUGAACACAAGAUGAGAUGGGUGUUUGAUUGUGUAAUGAGUUCAAUUCCAUUUAACCAAAGUUGAUUAAGCCUUGAUAGACACAAGGCACGAUGCUAGGCACAGGGAUGCCAAGAUAGAUAAGAUAAAGCCCUUUCUCUUACAGAGUUUAUGAUCUAAUAGAGGAAACUAGAAGUACUUAAUCAGCUAUGACAUAAGAGAGAGUAAAGUCCAAAGGAGAGCGGAGCAAGCGGAAGUGGGAACGAGACACCCAAUUUUCAGAUAUGACCACAAUAUACUGAUGGGUUUUGUCUGACUUCUCUUAUUACAAAUACUGAAUAGAUGAUGGGAAGGCAGGGAGUGAGUUAAGUGGGAAGCCAUAGAGACACAAAAAAGUAAAAGCUCACCAAUGAAAAAAUAAAAAAAUCCCCAGAAGCAAAAGUUCAGAAAGGGACAAAGCAAUUUUGUUACUGUCCCGAACACUUUAACAUAUAUAUAUAUACUUUGUUGAAAAGAACCCACUCACAAGAGAAGUUCCUGAAUUCACCAACGAUCCUGUUUUUCAUUUUUGUGUAUCAGAAUGUUUGUGUUUGUGGAUGAUUGUGUUUAUAAUGAAAAAAAGGAGAUGGAAAACUAAGAAGUGAGAUAUAAAUAAAUCACACACACACACACACACACACACACUAAAAAUACUUGCAAUACAAAGGUACAAAUAAAGUUUGAGGUAUGUGAGAUGAUCCCUUCAGCUAGAAGUCAAGAAAGGCUUCACCUGGACAGGUCUUAAGCUCUUCUCCUGAGUCUUCCACUAAUUUAGCUGUGUGACCUUGGAGAAGUCAUGUGAAUUUCCUCAGUUGUUUCCUCAUUUGUAAAAUAAAGGUCUCAAUAAACUGGAUAGAAAAUGCAUUCAGAGUGAGAACUAUAGAGAAUGAAUGUAAAUCAACACAUGCUAUGCUCACUCUUCUCCCCU
Long non-coding RNA from Sarcophilus harrisii (Tasmanian devil), 1441 nucleotides. RefSeq lists it as uncharacterized. The transcript is spliced from 3 exons. The record is from RefSeq and is a predicted model, not a curated record. Lineage: Eukaryota; Metazoa; Chordata; Mammalia; Dasyuromorphia; Dasyuridae.